GUACAUGGUGGAUGCCUUGGCAGUCAGAGGCGAUGAAGGACGUACUAACCUGCGAUAAGCCGUGAGCAGUCGGUAAGAGACAUUACGACUCACGGAUUUCCGAAUGGGGAAACCCACUUAGCAUAAGCUAGGUAUCGCUGCGUGAAUACAUAGCGUAGCGAGGCGAACCGGGAGAACUGAAACAUCUAAGUACCCCGAGGAAAAGAAAUCAACCGAGAUUCCCUCAGUAGCGGCGAGCGAACGGGGAUUAGCCCUUAAGCAUCUUGGAAGUUAGUGGAACGGUCCUGGAAAGGCCGGCGAUACAGGGUGAUAGCCCCGUACACGAAAACAACCUUGAUGUGAAAUCGAGUAGGGCGGGACACGUGACAUCCUGUCUGAAUAUGGGGGGACCAUCCUCCAAGGCUAAAUACUCCUGACUGACCGAUAGUGAACCAGUACCGUGAGGGAAAGGCGAAAAGAACCCCUGUGAGGGGAGUGAAAUAGAACCUGAAACCGUGUACGUACAAGCAGUGGGAGCCCUUCGGGUGACUGCGUACCUUUGUAUAAUGGG
RNAcentral lists this ribosomal RNA (550 nucleotides) under uncultured bacterium. Its description in RNAcentral is "bacterial LSU rRNA". It matches the Rfam family "Bacterial large subunit ribosomal RNA", at positions 17 to 619 of the family's 2925-position model. The record is from RNAcentral.